RNAcentral lists this unclassified non-coding RNA (320 nucleotides) under uncultured fungus. RNAcentral's name for it is "partial contains 5.8S ribosomal RNA and internal transcribed spacer 2". The stretch from base 1 to 133 matches the Rfam family "5.8S ribosomal RNA", at positions 22 to 154 of the family's 154-position model. The record is from RNAcentral. Lineage: Eukaryota; Fungi.
UGGUUCUGGCAUCGAUGAAGAACGCAGCGAAAUGCGAUAAGUAAUGUGAAUUGCAGAAUUCAGUGAAUCAUCGAAUCUUUGAACGCACAUUGCGCCCUUUGGCAUUCCGAAGGGCAUGCCUGUUCGAGCGUCAUUACACCCACUCAAGCCUGGCUUGGUGUUGGGCGCCGCGGCCUGCCGCGCGCCUUAAUGUCUGCCGGCCGAACCGUCCGUCUCUAAGCGUUGCGGCAUCUCAUGUUUUCGCUUUGGAGCCCGGGCGGCGUCGCGCCGUAAAACCUUUAUUUCAGGUUGACCUCGGAUCAGGUAGGGAUACCCGCUGA